CACCAAUACUGGUUUCUAUUAACGGUUCCCAAACUAGAACCAACAAUUCAAUACCGGUAUCAAAACACCAGCAGGUCCGAUACCAAAACAAGUACCAAUAAUCUGUUAUCGGUACCAUUAAAACAGUAGUCCUUCAAGAUGGCGGUCUGGCAGUCGGGUCAAAACGAAGCGGAGAUUUAUAAAGUGAUUUCCUCGGUUUAUUCAGGUGAAGGAGGCUGUUACUGUCUGCCUGGCACUUGGCACUCUUCACCGUUCUGCUUUCCGCCUGGAGUGCCACGGGGCCAACAGUGAGUGCCGGGCAGCUGACGGUGGACCUGGUAAUUACCUGUGAGAAGGUGGGCACCACCCAGCCCCUCUGACCGCAGCAGCAAAGACCAGUGCCAUGUCUUGCCUGCCCAGUGCCUUGCUGUCAUGCAGACCCCCUCAUAGAAAGUGAGCGACAUAACCUCCUGACUGAGCUGGUCCAGGAGGUGGUGGUCCUGCAAUGCCUAUGAGCGAUGGGACAACAACCAAAUCCCUGGCCACAGCUGCGCUACCUCACCUCCCACACAACAGAGGAGGACGUGCUAGUCUCACUUGGGGCCUUGGAGCUGGAGAACACAAAGGAAGAACAGACAACAGCAGACCUGAUGGUUCUUACGAGGCUGUUUGUGACAAGCUACACCAACUAUCUAAUCAAAGGUGGAAGAUGAAGGACAGCAAGAUGAAGAAGCGUCUGUCAGCCCUUCCUCUCGGGUGCCGGCUUUGUCAAACUCUUCAUGGAAAUUUGGUACGUAGUAGUAGGGCUCAUGUUAGCUGGUGAUGCAGGGGAUGAAAAGUGUGGUGUGUAAGACAUGCUUCACACCUUGUAUAUGUUGACUGGUGAAGGCCAACAAGUGGAAGAAUACCUGACCCAGCCAUUGCUUCCUUCAGAUAGGAGCCUUUCCAUAUGACAGGUUUUCCUUUUCCUGUACAGAUAUUUUGAAUUAGUUUUCUCUGAUUGGUUUCAGAAUAUCCUUAACAACAAAAGUCACCAAAAUUAUAUGCUCCUGCAGUGUUGGGUCACUGUUAGAUGCACAAGAGUGUACUGAAGGUCUAACAUGUGUGUGUAAGCUUACUUGAGGUGCUGUGUACAUACACAAUAGUAAAUUUUUGGGAAAAAAAUCAUUAUUUUUGGAUAUAUUGUUACUGAAUAAUCUACUCUGCUAUUCUCCUGCCCUCUGACUCAGCACUGACCUCA
Eriocheir sinensis (Chinese mitten crab) is the source of this 1219-nucleotide long non-coding RNA. RefSeq lists it as uncharacterized. The transcript is spliced from 5 exons. NCBI's taxonomy places the organism in Eukaryota, Metazoa, Arthropoda, Malacostraca, Decapoda, Varunidae. The record is from RefSeq and is a predicted model, not a curated record.